This 1411-nucleotide ribosomal RNA is filed under the name Campylobacter jejuni. Its description in RNAcentral is "partial 23S ribosomal RNA". It matches the Rfam family "Bacterial large subunit ribosomal RNA", at positions 1 to 1436 of the family's 2925-position model. The record is from RNAcentral. Lineage: Bacteria; Pseudomonadati; Campylobacterota; Epsilonproteobacteria; Campylobacterales; Campylobacteraceae.
AGGUAAGCUACUAAGAGCGAAUGGUGGAUGCCUUGACUGGUAAAGGCGAUGAAGGACGUACUAGACUGCGAUAAGCUACGGGGAGCUGUCAAGAAGCUUUGAUCCGUAGAUUUCCGAAUGGGGCAACCCAAUGUAUAGAGAUAUACAUUACCUAUAUAGGAGCGAACGAGGGGAAUUGAAACAUCUUAGUACCCUCAGGAAAAGAAAUCAAUAGAGAUUGCGUCAGUAGCGGCGAGCGAAAGCGCAAGAGGGCAAACCCAGUGCUUGCACUGGGGGUUGUAGGACUGCAAUGUGCAAGAGGUAAGUUUAGCAGAACAUUCUGGAAAGUAUAACCAUAGAGGGUGAUAGUCCCGUAUGCGAAAAACAAACCUUAGCUAGCAGUAUCCUGAGUAGGGCGGGACACGAGGAAUCCUGUCUGAAUCCGGGUCGACCACGAUCCAACCCUAAAUACUAAUACCAGAUCGAUAGUGCACAAGUACCGUGAGGGAAAGGUGAAAAGAACUGAGGUGAUCAGAGUGAAAUAGAACCUGAAACCAUUUGCUUACAAUCAUUCAGAGCCCUAUGUAGCAAUACAGGGUGAUGGACUGCCUUUUGCAUAAUGAGCCUGCGAGUUGUGGUGUCUGGCAAGGUUAAGCAAACGCGAAGCCGUAGCGAAAGCGAGUCUGAAUAGGGCGCUUAGUCAGAUGCUGCAGACCCGAAACGAAGUGAUCUAUCCAUGAGCAAGUUGAAGCUAGUGUAAGAACUAGUGGAGGACUGAACCCAUAGGCGUUGAAAAGCCCCGGGAUGACUUGUGGAUAGGGGUGAAAGGCCAAUCAAACUUCGUGAUAGCUGGUUCUCUCCGAAAUAUAUUUAGGUAUAGCGUUGUGUCGUAAUAUAAGGGGGUAGAGCACUGAAUGGGCUAGGGCAUACACCAAUGUACCAAACCCUAUCAAACUCCGAAUACCUUAUAUGUAAUCACAGCAGUCAGGCGGCGAGUGAUAAAAUCCGUCGUCAAGAGGGAAACAACCCAGACUACCAGCUAAGGUCCCUAAAUCUUACUUAAGUGGAAAACGAUGUGAAGUUACUUAAACAACCAGGAGGUUGGCUUAGAAGCAGCCAUCCUUUAAAGAAAGCGUAAUAGCUCACUGGUCUAGUGAUUUUGCGCGGAAAAUAUAACGGGGCUAAAGUAAGUACCGAAGCUGUAGACUUAGUUUACUAAGUGGUAGGAGAGCGUUCUAUUUGCGUCGAAGGUAUACCGGUAAGGAGUGCUGGAGCGAAUAGAAGUGAGCAUGCAGGCAUGAGUAGCGAUAAUUAAUGUGAGAAUCAUUAACGCCGUAAACCCAAGGUUUCCUACGCGAUGCUCGUCAUCGUAGGGUUAGUCGGGUCCUAAGUCGAGUCCGAAAGGGGUAGACGAUGGCAAAUUGGUUAAUAU